RNAcentral lists this unclassified non-coding RNA (2047 nucleotides) under Hevea brasiliensis (rubber tree). Lineage: Eukaryota; Viridiplantae; Streptophyta; Magnoliopsida; Malpighiales; Euphorbiaceae. The record is from RNAcentral.
GAGAGAGAGAGAGAGAGAGAUGAUUUGCAAUGUUAGAAGAUACCUAUUAUAGCUGAAGAAUUUUACAAUUGCUUCAUCAAACACUUAAAAGCUCAAAACUUAUAUCUUGUAUGUCCAAUAUUUUCAGUUUCCAUAUCAGCCAAACCCUUGAUUCUGUUAUUCAAUUCUUAGAUCAUUCAUGUCAAACUAAGAAUGCCAUAGCCAUUAAGAAGCUCCAUGCUCGCCUGCUCAGGACAGGCUUACUCUUUUUCUCACUUAAUAUUCACUGUAAACUCAUUUUCACCUACACCACAUGCCUCCACAAAAACAACCUCCAAGCCUUAACCAAUUGCUGCAAAUUCCUAAUCCCUGUGAACCCAUUACCCUUCAAUCUACUACUUUCUAAUUUCUGCCGAAGUGGGUUCCCUUUAUUAGCACUAAAAACCUGCUCUCUCAUGCAUGUAAACAGUGUUUCUUUAGAUACUUAUGCUUUGUGUAGUUCCUUAACAGCUUCAUCUUCUAUGGAAAAUGUGAACUUUGGUAAGCAGAUACAUGCCCAUGUGACGAAAUCAGGUUGGUUAUCUAGUGUGUUUGUGGGCAGUGCAUUGAUCGACCUAUAUGCAAAAUCGUCUUUUGUUAGUCAUGCCGCAAUGGUGUUUGAAGAAAUUCCAGUGAAGAACACAGUUUGUGCAAAUGCUCUUUUAUCAGGGUAUGUUGAAGCUGAAUUGUGGGAUCAGGGAAUUAAAUUGAUAAGAAAUAUGCCCCUUUUGAGUUUGGAUUAUGAUCAUUUCACAUUAUCAGCAAUGCUGCGGACAUGCACGGGGCUUUCUGCUAUUGAAUUCGGAAGACAAGUGCAUGGCUAUUUAAACCGUAAAAUUAAUGAUUUGGGAAAUGAUGUUUUUUUGCAGAGUUCACUGAUUGAAAUGUAUGGCAAGUGUGGUUUUGUAGGGAACGCUUUGCAGGUCUUCAACUUGGCAGGAUAUAGAUUGGGUGGAAAGAGAAAUAGGGAUAUUGUUUUGUGGACUUCAAUGCUAGGUGUAUAUGGUAGAAAUGGGCAUUUUAACGAAGUGAUUGGACUGUUCAACGAGAUGUUAAAAGAAGGGAUCAUACCAGAUGAGGUGGCGUAUGUUACAGUCAUCUCUGCUUGUGGUCACACUGGUCAAGUGCAACUUGGAAUUGAGUAUUUCAAAUCAAUGUCUCUGGACUUUAAUUUGAAUCCCGGCACAGAGCACUAUGGUAGUGUAAUUGAUUUACUUUGUAGGGCUGGUGAGUUAGGUAAAGCCUGGAAGCUGAUGAAUGAGAUGAUCACUAAAGGGCAUGAGAAUCCCAGCAUUUCCAUGUGGGGGGCUUUGCUUAGUGCUUGUGAGGAACAUGGGAAUAUUGAGAUGGGUAAAUUAGCUGCUCAAGAGGCACUUAACUUGGAGCCUCAGAAUGUCGGGAUCUAUGUUAUGUUGUCAAAUUUAUAUGCUAGGUUUGGUAUGUGGGAUGAGAUUAGCCAGCUGAGGGAAAUAAUGAAAGAAAGAGGGCUAAAGAAAGAUGUAGGACGUAGUUGGAUUGAAGUCACAAGUUAACUGGAGUGUUAUUAUCGUCAAACAUGGCGCGUUUGUGGUAUUGAUCUUGAAUGGUUGUCAGAGAUGCUAUGCCAAAUUGAAAGAUGACCCCUUAACCUGUUUCAAAUUCUGAACUUACGAGUCGUCAAACAAAGAAUAUAAUCAGUAGUUCUUAAUCUUCCAACCGGCAGGGGAAAUGGCAAAUUUUAGAGUUAUGAACCUGAGGAGUUUUCCACUUGCCACUUGAGCUUAUGAGGUACCCUGUAGAUGAAAUGGAAACUAGGUCCUCUCAAAGCCAUUGCUAUGAAGCUUCAUGAAAAAUGCUGCUAGAAUUAACAUUAGCUAGUCAGACAGGUAUUACAGUUGAUACUUCAAAAUGUUUGAAUUGUUGUGUAAAUAUUCAUAUUCAGCAUUUGGUACUUUGAGGAUGUUGUAGUUGAUGACAACAUAAUUAAACAAGGAAUGCUGAGAGCAGCUAGAUUGUGGCUACAAGUUUUCAAUGAUAAAUUUUAAUUAAC